UGGGGAAUAUUGCACAAUGGGGGAAACCCUGAUGCAGCGACGCCGCGUGAGCGAAGAAGGUUUUCGAAUCGUAAAGCUCUGUCCUAUGAGAAGAUAAUGACGGUAUCAUAGGAGGAAGCCCCGGCUAAAUACGUGCCAGCAGCCGCGGUAAUACGUAUGGGGCGAGCGUUGUCCGGAAUUAUUGGGCGUAAAGGGUACGUAGGCGGUCUAUUAAGUCAGGUGUGAAAGCGUGAGGCUUAACCUCAUUAAGCACUUGAAACUGAUAGACUUGAGUGAAGGAGAGGAAAGUGGAAUUCCUAGUGUAGCGGUGACAUGCGUAGAUAUUAGGAGGAAUACCGGUGGCGAAGGCGACUUUCUGGACUUUUACUGACGCUCAGGUACGAAAGCGUGGGGAGCAAACAGG
RNAcentral lists this ribosomal RNA (403 nucleotides) under Verrucomicrobiota bacterium. RNAcentral describes it as "Verrucomicrobia bacterium partial 16S ribosomal RNA". It matches the Rfam family "Bacterial small subunit ribosomal RNA", at positions 355 to 776 of the family's 1533-position model. The record is from RNAcentral. Lineage: Bacteria; Pseudomonadati; Verrucomicrobiota.